Molecule: ribosomal RNA, 253 nt
Filed under: uncultured bacterium
Lineage: Bacteria
Description: partial 16S ribosomal RNA
Rfam family: Bacterial small subunit ribosomal RNA
Source: RNAcentral
UACAGAGGGGGCAAGCGUUAUUCGGAAUUAUUGGGCGUAAAGGGCGCGUAGGCGGCCAAGCAAGUCAGGGGUGAAAUCCCCGAGCUUAACUUGGGAACUGCCAUUGAUACUAUCAGUCUUGAAUACCGUGGAGGUCAGCGGAAUAUGUCAUGUAGCGGUGAAAUGCUUAGAUAUGACAUAGAACACCAAUUGCGAAGGCAGCUGGCUACACGAGUAUUGACACUGAGGCACGAAAGCGUGGGGAUCAAACAGG